GACGAACGCUGGCGGCGUGCCUAAUACAUGCAAGUCGAGCGAGUCUGCCUUGAAGAUCGGUGUGCUUGCACUGUGUGAAACAAGAGACAGGCAAGUGGCGGACGUGUCAGUAAGACGGGGGUAACCUGCCCAAGACAUCGGGAUAACACCUGGAAACUUAUACUAAUACCGGAUAACAACAGAUGAUGCCUUUCAACUGACUAAUAGAUGGUUCUGCUAUCACUUAUGGAUGGACCUGCGUUGCAUUAGCUAGUUGGUAAGGUAACGGCCUACCAAGGCGAUGAUGCAUAGCCGAGCUGAGAGGCUGAUCGGCCACACUGGAACUGAGACACGGUCCAGACUCCUACGGGAGGCAGCAGUAGGGAAUCUUCCACAAUGGGCGCAAGUCUGAUGGAGCAACGCCGCGUGAGUGAAGAAGGGUUUCGGCUCGUAAAGCUCUGUUAUUGGUGAAGAAGGAAGGGGGUAGUAACUGAGCUUUGUUUGACGGUAAUCAAUUAGAAAGCCACGGCUAACUACGUG
Molecule: ribosomal RNA, 519 nt
Filed under: uncultured bacterium
Lineage: Bacteria
Description: partial 16S ribosomal RNA
Rfam family: Bacterial small subunit ribosomal RNA
Source: RNAcentral